This 208-nucleotide long non-coding RNA is filed under the name Hordeum vulgare. RNAcentral describes it as "long non-coding RNA (HVUL_LNC009707)". Lineage: Eukaryota; Viridiplantae; Streptophyta; Magnoliopsida; Poales; Poaceae. The record is from RNAcentral.
AAGGACAUCUUGAUGGAUGAUUUCCGCAAACUCCGACUGGAUGCGAAAGAAUUCUUGUCUGAUGUCCGCAUCCUGGAUUGCCGACAAGCGUGCGGCCCAAUAUUUGAGAUUAUUUGGUAGCCGAAGGUGAUUACUGUCCCGUAUGAUCGCCCGCAUGUGAUGGAGGGCGUAGUAGGCAUCCUUCUGACUGCCAGGCGGCUGCUUGACG